Molecule: transfer RNA, 75 nt
Filed under: Alphaproteobacteria bacterium
Lineage: Bacteria; Pseudomonadati; Pseudomonadota; Alphaproteobacteria
Description: tRNA-Phe
Rfam family: tRNA
About the family: Transfer RNA (tRNA) molecules are approximately 80 nucleotides in length.
Source: RNAcentral
GCCCGGGUAGCUCAGUGGUAGAGCAGCGGACUGAAAAUCCGCGUGUCGCUGGUUCAAUCCCGGCCCCGGGCACCA